This 522-nucleotide ribosomal RNA is filed under the name Ophiogomphus carolus (riffle snaketail). Its description in RNAcentral is "SSU rRNA". It matches the Rfam family "Eukaryotic small subunit ribosomal RNA", at positions 631 to 1126 of the family's 1831-position model. Lineage: Eukaryota; Metazoa; Arthropoda; Insecta; Odonata; Gomphidae. The record is from RNAcentral.
UAGUCGGAGGUGUGUCUCGGACGGUCGGUUCGCCGCUUGUCGGUGCUCAACUGGCCGGUCCGGACGUCCUGCCGGUGGGGCUGUAAAAGGCUCCGUUAUCCUUCUUUGGUCCUCUUCAUUGAGUGCCUUGGUGGGCCGGCACGUUUACUUUGAACAAAUUAGAGUGCUCAAAGCAGGCCGUUGGUCGCCUGAAUACUGUGUGCAUGGAAUAAUGGAAUAGGACCUCGGUUCCAUUUUGUUGGUUUUCAGAACUCGAGGUAAUGAUUAAUAGGGACGGACGGGGGCAUUCGUAUUGCGACGUUAGAGGUGAAAUUCUUGGAUCGUCGCAAGACGAACCGAUGCGAAAGCAUUUGCCAAGAACGUUUUCGUUGAUCAAGAACGAAAGUUAGAGGUUCGAAGGCGAUCAGAUACCGCCCUAGUUCUAACCAUAAACGAUGCCAGCUAGCCAUCCGCCGAAGUUCCUUAUAUGACUCGGCGGGCAGCUUCCGGGAAACCAAAGCUCUUGGGUUCCGGGGGAGGUAU